Molecule: ribosomal RNA, 492 nt
Filed under: uncultured bacterium
Lineage: Bacteria
Description: partial 16S ribosomal RNA
Rfam family: Bacterial small subunit ribosomal RNA
Source: RNAcentral
GAUGAACGCUAGCUACAGGCUUAACACAUGCAAGUCGAGGGGAAACGGCAUUGAGUGCUUGCACUCUUUGGACGUCGACCGGCGCACGGGUGAGUAACGCGUAUCCAACCUUCCCAUUACUGUGGGAUAACCUGCCGAAAGGCAGACUAAUACCGCAUAGUCUUCGAUGACGGCAUCAGAUUUGACGUAAAGAUUUAUCGGUAAUGGAUGGGGAUGCGUCUGAUUAGCUUGUUGGCGGGGUAACGGCGCACCAAGGCUACGAUCAGUAGGGGUUCUGAGAGGAAGGUCCCCCACAUUGGAACUGAGACACGGUCCAAACUCCUACGGGAGGCAGCAGUGAGGAAUAUUGGUCAAUGGACGGAAGUCUGAACCAGCCAAGUAGCGUGCAGGAUGACGGCCCUAUGGGUUGUAAACUGCUUUUGUAUGGGGAUAAAGUUAGGGACGUGUCCCUAUUUGCAGGUACCAUACGAAUAAGGACCGGCUAAUUCCGUG